UGUAAAGCACUUUAAGCAGGAAAGAAAAGCGCCGGAUUAAUACUCCGAGCGUAUUGACGGUACCUGCAGAAUAAGCUCCGGCUAACUCCGUGCCAGCAGCCGCGGUAAUACGGAGGGUGCAAGCGUUAAUCGGAAUUACUGGGCGUAAAGCGUGCGUAGGCGGUUGCGUGUGUCAAAUGUGAAAGCCCCGGGCUCAACCUGGGAAUUGCAUCCGAAACUGCGUGACUAGAAUAUGGUAGAGGAAGAUGGAAUUCCACGUGUAGCGGUGAAAUGCGUAGAUAUGUGGAGGAACACCAAUGGCGAAGGCAAUCUUCUGGGCCAAUAUUGACGCUGAGGUACGAAAGCGUGGGUAGCAAACAGGAUUAGAUACCCUGGUAGUCCACGCCGUAAACGAUGAGAACUAGACGUUGGCUGACAUAGUCGG
Molecule: ribosomal RNA, 424 nt
Filed under: uncultured Salinisphaera sp.
Lineage: Bacteria; Pseudomonadati; Pseudomonadota; Gammaproteobacteria; Salinisphaerales; Salinisphaeraceae
Description: bacterial SSU rRNA
Rfam family: Bacterial small subunit ribosomal RNA
Source: RNAcentral